Molecule: ribosomal RNA, 406 nt
Filed under: uncultured bacterium
Lineage: Bacteria
Description: bacterial SSU rRNA
Rfam family: Bacterial small subunit ribosomal RNA
Source: RNAcentral
UGGGGAAUAUUGCACAAUGGGCGCAAGCCUGAUGCAGCAACGCCGCGUGAGUGAUGAAGGCCUUUGGGUCGUAAAACUCUGUCCUAGGGGAAGAAUAAAAUGACGGUACCCUGGGAGGAAGCCCCGGCAAACUACGUGCCAGCAGCCGCGGUAAUACGUAGGGGGCAAGCGUUAUCCGGAAUCACUGGGCGUAAAGGGUGCGUAGGCGGUCUUUCAAGCCAGAGGUAAAAGGCAUUGGCUUAACCAAUGUAAGCCUUUGGAACUGUGAGACUUGAGUGCAGGAGAGGUAAGUGGAAUUCCUAGUGUAGCGGUGAAAUGCGUAGAUAUUAGGAGGAACACCAGUGGCGAAGGCGACUUACUGGACUGUAACUGACGCUGAGGCACGAAAGCGUGGGGAGCAAACAGG